This 500-nucleotide ribosomal RNA is filed under the name uncultured bacterium. Its description in RNAcentral is "partial 16S ribosomal RNA". It matches the Rfam family "Bacterial small subunit ribosomal RNA", at positions 29 to 506 of the family's 1533-position model. The record is from RNAcentral.
ACGAACGCUGGCGGCGUGCCUAAUACAUGCACGUCGAACGAACCGCGACUAAGUGCUUGCACUAAGUCAAGGUGAGUGGCGAACGGGUGAGUAACACGUGGGUAACCUACCUCAUAGUGGGGGAUAACAGUCGGAAACGACUGCUAAUACCGCAUAGGACAUAGGAUCACAUGAUCCAGUGAGGAAAGGUGGCGCAAGCUAUCGCUAAGAGAUGGACCCGCGGUGCAUUAGCUAGUUGGUAGGGUAAAGGCCUACCAAGGCGAUGAUGCAUAGCCGACCUGAGAGGGUGAUCGGCCACAUUGGGACUGAGACACGGCCCAAACUCCUACGGGAGGCAGCAGUAGGGAAUCUUCCGCAAUGGACGCAAGUCUGACGGAGCAACGCCGCGUGAGUGAAGAAGGUCUUCGGAUCGUAAAGCGCUGUUGUUAGAGAAGAACAGCGCAUAGAGUAACUGCUAUGCGUGUGACGGUAUCUAACCAGAAAGCCACGGCUAACUACGU